RNAcentral lists this ribosomal RNA (421 nucleotides) under uncultured bacterium. RNAcentral's name for it is "partial 16S ribosomal RNA". It matches the Rfam family "Bacterial small subunit ribosomal RNA", at positions 359 to 772 of the family's 1533-position model. The record is from RNAcentral.
GAAUAUUGCGCAAUGGGCGAAAGCCUGACGGAGCAACGCCGCGUGAGCGAUGAAGGUCUUCGGAUCGUAAAGCUCUGUUGUUAGGGAAGAACAAGUACCGGAGUAACUGUCGGUACCUUGCUGGUACCUACCCAGAAACCCACGGCUCACUACGUGCCAGCAGCCGCGGUAAUACGUAGGUGGCAAGCGUUGUCCGGAAUGAGUGGGCGUAAAGCGCGCGCAGGCGGUCCUUUAAGUCUGAUGUGAAAUCUUGCGGCUCAACCGCAAGCGGUCAUUGGAAACUGGGGGACUUGAGUGCAGGAGAGGAAAGCGGAAUUCCAUGUGUAGCGGUGAAAUGCGUAGAGAUAUGGAGGAACACCAGUGGCGAAGGCGGCUUUCUGGCCUGUAACUGACGCUGAGGCGCGAAAGCGUGGGGAGCAAA